UGGGGAAUAUUGCACAAUGGAGGGAACUCUGAUGCAGCGACGCCGCGUGAGUGAUGAAGGAAUUCGUUUCGUAAAACUCUGUUCUAUGGGAAGAAAAGGACUGUACCAUAGGAGAAAGCUCCGGCUAAAUACGUGCCAGCAGCCGCGGUAAUACGUAUGGAGCGAGCGUUGUCCGGAAUUAUUGGGCGUAAAGGGUGCGCAGGCGGCUUUACAAGUUGGAUGUGAAAUAUUGUGGCUCAACCACAAACGUGCAUCCAAAACUGCAAAGCUUGAGUUAAGGAGAGGUAAGUGGAAUACCUGGUGUAGCGGUGGAAUGCGUAGAUAUCAGGAGGAAUACCGGUGGCGAAGGCGACUUACUGGACUUAAACUGACGCUCAGGCACGAAAGCGUGGGGAGCAAACAGG
This 404-nucleotide ribosomal RNA is filed under the name Fusobacteriota bacterium. RNAcentral describes it as "Fusobacteria bacterium partial 16S ribosomal RNA". It matches the Rfam family "Bacterial small subunit ribosomal RNA", at positions 355 to 776 of the family's 1533-position model. Lineage: Bacteria; Fusobacteriati; Fusobacteriota. The record is from RNAcentral.